GCACCUUUGUUGGGGGUAUAAAUAGAAUACACAGUUCCAAGGUGAGGGUUAUCUGUGUUCUUAUUACCUCUGAGAUUGUGUUUUGCACCAUGUGCCAGAAUGGCUGUAAGGUGUCGCACGUCCACCAUAUGUGGGACAUGGUGCCUCUAUGGAGCCCACACCUCCAACAUUUGUCCGUGGAGCGUGGCCAUAUUUUGUGGAGUCUAGCCGGCACCAUGUACCAGCGAUAUUGCAGUUUGCGUUGUAGUUCUAGGUGUGUGGCGCAUGAGGUCAC
Non-coding RNA from Pelobates cultripes (western spadefoot toad), 274 nucleotides. Lineage: Eukaryota; Metazoa; Chordata; Amphibia; Anura; Pelobatidae. The record is from the annotation of a GenBank genome assembly.